AGUGAACGCUGGCGGUAGGCCUAACACAUGCAAGUCGAACGGCAGCACAGUAAGAGCUUGCUCUUACGGGUGGCGAGUGGCGGACGGGUGAGGAAUACAUCGGAAUCUACUUUUUCGUGGGGGAUAACGUAGGGAAACUUACGCUAAUACCGCAUACGACCUACGGGUGAAAGCAGGGGAUCUUCGGACCUUGCGCGAUUGAAUGAGCCGAUUUCGGAUUGGCUAGUUGGCGGGGUAAGGGCCCACCAAGGCGACGAUCCGUAGCUGGUCUGAGGGGAUGAUCAGCCACUCUGGACCUGAGACCCGGUCCAGCCUCCAAGGGGAGGCCGCGGUGGGGAAUGUUGGCAAAUGGGCGCAACCCUGAUCCAGCCAUCCCGCGUGGGUGAAGAGGGCCUUCGGGUUGUAAAGCCCUUUUGUUGGGAAAGAAAAGCAGCAGGUUAAUACCCCGCUGUUCGACCGGUACCCAAAGAAUAGGCACCGGCUACCUCCGU
This 491-nucleotide ribosomal RNA is filed under the name uncultured bacterium. RNAcentral describes it as "partial 16S ribosomal RNA". It matches the Rfam family "Bacterial small subunit ribosomal RNA", at positions 29 to 506 of the family's 1533-position model. The record is from RNAcentral.